UACGUAGGGGGCGAGCGUUGUCCGGAAUUACUGGGCGUAAAGAGCGCGUAGGCGGUUUUUUAAGUCAGAUGUGAAAAUCCAGGGCUUAACUCUGGGCGUGCAUUUGAAACUGGGGAACUAGAGUGCAGGAGAGGUAAGUGGAAUUCCUAGUGUAGCGGUGAAAUGCGUAGAUAUUGGGAGGAACACCAGUGGCGAAGGCGGCUUUCUGGACUGUAACUGACGCUGAGGCGCGAAAGCCAGGGUAGCGAACGGGAUUAGAUACCCCGGUAGUCCACGCCGUAAACGAUGAAUACUAGGUGUGGGGGGACUGACCCCCUCCGUGCCGGAGUUAACACAAUAAGUAUUCCACCUGGGGAGUACGGCCGCAAGGCUGAA
RNAcentral lists this ribosomal RNA (375 nucleotides) under uncultured bacterium. Its description in RNAcentral is "bacterial SSU rRNA". It matches the Rfam family "Bacterial small subunit ribosomal RNA", at positions 524 to 898 of the family's 1533-position model. The record is from RNAcentral.